GGAUUAGAUACCCUGGUAGUCCACGCCGUAAACGAUGGAAGCUAGCCGUUGGAUAGCAUGCUAUUCAGUGGCGCAGCUAACGCAUUAAGCUUCCCGCCUGGGGAGUACGGUCGCAAGAUUAAAACUCAAAGGAAUUGACGGGGGCCCGCACAAGCGGUGGAGCAUGUGGUUUAAUUCGAGGCAACGCGAAGAACCUUACCAGCUUUUGAUCCCGAUAGCCGAUGGUAGAGAUACCGUCUUCAUUUAGUUGGAUCGGUGACAGGUGCUGCAUGGCUGUCGUCAGCUCGUGUCG
This 292-nucleotide ribosomal RNA is filed under the name uncultured bacterium. RNAcentral's name for it is "partial 16S ribosomal RNA". It matches the Rfam family "Bacterial small subunit ribosomal RNA", at positions 775 to 1067 of the family's 1533-position model. The record is from RNAcentral.